GAUGAAGAACGUAGCGAAAUGCGAUAAGUAGUGUGAAUUGCAGAAUUCAGUGAAUCAUCGAAUCUUUGAACGCACAUUGCGCCCCUUGGUAUUCCAUGGGGCAUGCCUGUUCGAGCGUCAUUUGUACCUUCAAGCUCUGCUUGGUGUUGGGUGUUUGUCUCGCCUCUGCGUGUAGACUCGCCUCAAAACAAUGGGCAGCCGGCGUAUUGAUUUCGGAGCGCAGUACAUCUCGCGCUUUGCACUCAUAACGACGACGUCCAAAAGUACAUUUUUACACUCUUGACCUCGGAUCAGGUAGGGAUACCCGCUGAACUUAAGCAUAUCAAUAAGCGGAGGA
RNAcentral lists this unclassified non-coding RNA (337 nucleotides) under soil metagenome. RNAcentral describes it as "partial contains 5.8S ribosomal RNA, internal transcribed spacer 2, and large subunit ribosomal RNA". The stretch from base 1 to 120 matches the Rfam family "5.8S ribosomal RNA", at positions 35 to 154 of the family's 154-position model. The record is from RNAcentral.